AGGCUGCCUGCGAGCCACGUAUUAAUCAGGAGAAAACACGGGGACUUUGCUCAAGUACCUAACAAGCAGAUUGUAGUGAAAGCGCCGUUGCCUGAGCACUAGUUCGUCUGGCACCUAUUUUACGGAGGUUUGACUAUGAGCCAAAUGUCGUGCUGGCUCCUGGGAACAUCAACCACACGGAAAUAGACAGAGGUAGGCCCCGCCCACCCGUGGGGAACUAUCCAUCUGUGGAAGGAUAGGGAUGCGGAGCCACAAAAAGCAAAACAAAAUGUAGAAGUCUAAGACGCUGGUAAGGUGUCCUGAAGUACAACAGAAGUAAAAGAAGCAGAGGUAGGAUGGGCAAAGGGGUAGAGAUGGCUCUUGGUCAGUGUCUCGGGCAGGGGUUAUAGGCCCUGUCUCUUCUUGGUACACACGUUGGAGUGGGAGUUGGGUGUGUGGCUCACCUGGUGACUGAAACACACCACUGGGUUGAUGUGGGGAAAGAAGGGACUUAUCCUGAGCUGAGUUAGAUGGUGAUGGAGGAGCCUGAACUGUAGGGCAAGUACCCGGCACCCUCUCGGCUUUCUGCCAUGUAAGGAUACAAUGUAAAGAUGGCGGAGGAAACACUGGGACAAGAACUCUUACCAGACAACAGAAUGGCAAGCACGUUGGACAUGGAAGUCACCCUCCAGAACAAUAAGAAACUAAUUUCUGCUUCUGAGCCACCCUGGCUGUGGGUACUUGCUACAGAUAGCACAUAUUGGCGACACAAUGAUGGUGUCCUGAGAGAAGCCUGACUGAAGACUUUUCAAGGUAGUGGAGUCAUCUGUCCACGAUGACAUCUUUUAUUGCUAAGUCACUGUGGUAGUUUGAAUAAAAUGCCCCCAACAGGCUCCUUAGGAAUGGCACUUUUAGGAGUUGUGACCUUGAUGGAGGAAGUGUGUCUGAGUCUUUCUUCCUGCUGCCUUCCAGCAGAGACUGAUGUAGAACUCUCAGCUCCUUCUCUGACACCAAGUCUGCCUGCAUGUGCCAUGCCUUCUACCCCGAUGAUAAUGGACUAAACCUCUGAAACUGCAAGCCAGCCCCAAUUAAAUACUUUCCUUUAUGAGUU
This 1090-nucleotide long non-coding RNA is filed under the name Mus musculus (house mouse). RNAcentral's name for it is "long non-coding RNA chr7:78669503-78670593". The record is from RNAcentral. Lineage: Eukaryota; Metazoa; Chordata; Mammalia; Rodentia; Muridae.